RNAcentral lists this ribosomal RNA (308 nucleotides) under uncultured bacterium. RNAcentral describes it as "bacterial SSU rRNA". It matches the Rfam family "Bacterial small subunit ribosomal RNA", at positions 28 to 334 of the family's 1533-position model. The record is from RNAcentral.
GAUGAACGCUGGCGGCGUGCUUAACACAUGCAAGUCGAGCGGAGACAUCGUUUUCGGAUGAUGUCUUAGUGGCGGACGGGUGAGUAACGCGUGAGGAACCUGCCUCUCAGUGGGGAAUAACGGUCGGAAACGACCGCUAAUACCGCAUAACGCAUUUGGAUCGCAUGGUCUAGAAUGCCAAAGAUUUUAUCGCUGAGAGAUGGCCUCGCGUCUGAUUAGCUAGUUGGUAGGUAACGGCCUACCAAGGCGACGAUCAGUAGCCGGACUGAGAGGUUGGCCGGCCACAUUGGGACUGAGACACGGCCCAG